UGGGGAAUAUUGGACAAUGGGCGCAAGCCUGAUCCAGCCAUGCCGCGUGAGUGAUGAAGGCCCUAGGGUUGUAAAGCUCUUUCACCGGUGAAGAUAAUGACGGUAACCGGAGAAGAAGCCCCGGCUAACUUCGUGCCAGCAGCCGCGGUAAUACGAAGGGGGCUAGCGUUGUUCGGAUUUACUGGGCGUAAAGCGCACGUAGGCGGACUAUUAAGUCAGGGGUGAAAUCCCGGGGCUCAACCCCGGAACUGCCUUUGAUACUGGUAGUCUUGAGGUCGAGAGAGGUGAGUGGAAUUCCGAGUGUAGAGGUGAAAGUCGUAGAUAUUCGGAGGAAAACCAGUGGCGAAGGCGGCUCACUGGCUAGAUACUGACGCUGAGGUGCGAAAGCGUGGGGAGCAAACAGG
Molecule: ribosomal RNA, 404 nt
Filed under: Actinomycetes bacterium
Lineage: Bacteria; Bacillati; Actinomycetota; Actinomycetes
Description: Actinobacteria bacterium partial 16S ribosomal RNA
Rfam family: Bacterial small subunit ribosomal RNA
Source: RNAcentral